UUUGACGUUAGCGACAGAAGAAAGCACCGGCUAACUCCGUGCCAGCAGCCGCGGUAAUACGGAGGGUGCGAGCGUUAAUCGGAAUUACUGGGCGUAAAGCGCAUGCAGGUGGUUUGUUAAGUCAGAUGUGAAAGACCCGGGGCGUCAACCUCGGAAUAGCAUUUGUAAACUAGGCAGACUAGAGUACUGUAGAGGGGGGUAGGAAUUUCAGGUGUAGCGGUGAAAUAGCGUAGAGAUCUGAAGGAAUACCGGUGGCGAAGGCGGCCCCCUCGGACAGAUACUGACACUCAGAUGCGAAAGCGUGGGGAGCAAACAGGAUUAGAUACCCUGGUAG
RNAcentral lists this ribosomal RNA (334 nucleotides) under uncultured bacterium. RNAcentral describes it as "bacterial SSU rRNA". It matches the Rfam family "Bacterial small subunit ribosomal RNA", at positions 468 to 793 of the family's 1533-position model. The record is from RNAcentral.